This 793-nucleotide ribosomal RNA is filed under the name uncultured archaeon. RNAcentral's name for it is "bacterial SSU rRNA". It matches the Rfam family "Archaeal small subunit ribosomal RNA", at positions 85 to 879 of the family's 1478-position model. The record is from RNAcentral.
ACUGCUCAGUAACACGUGGACAACCUGCCCUUAGGUUGGGUAUAAACCCGGGAAACUGGGUAUAAUACCCGAUAGGUCUCGAUUGCUGGAAUGCAUCGAGAUUUAAAGCUCCGGCGCCUAAGGAUGGGUCUGCGGCCUAUCAGGUAGUAGUGGGUGUAGCGUACCUACUAGCCUACGACGGGUACGGGUUGUGAGAGCAAGAGCCCGGAGAUGGAUUCUGAGACACGAAUCCAGGCCCUACGGGGUGCAGCAGGCGCGAAAACUUUACAAUGCUGGCAACAGCGAUAAGGGAACCUCGAGUGCCAGGUUACAAAUCUGGCUGUCGAGAUGCCUAAAAAGCAUUUCAUAGCAAGGGCCGGGCAAGACCGGUGCCAGCCGCCGCGGUAACACCGGCGGCUCGAGUGGUAACCGUUAUUAUUGGGUCUAAAGGGUCUGUAGCCGGCCGGACAAGUCUCUUGAGAAAUCUGGCAGCUUAACUGUCAGGCUUUCAGGAGAUACUGUCUGGCUCGAGGCCGGGAGAGGUGAGAGGUACUUCAGGGGUAGGGGUGAAAUCUUGUAAUCCUUGAAGGACCACCAGUGGCGAAGGCGUCUCACCAGAACGGACCUGACGGCAAGGGACGAAAGCUAGGGGCACGAACCGGAUUAGAUACCCGGGUAGUCCUAGCCGUAAACGAUACUCGCUAGGUGUCGGCCACGGUGCGACCGUUGUCGGUGCCGUAGGGAAGCCGUGAAGCGAGCCACCUGGGAAGUACGGCCGCAAGGCUGAAACUUAAAGGAAUUGGCGGGGGAGCAC